AAAUGUGGAGCCGUAGCGAAAGCGAGUCUGAAUAGGGCGUAUAGUAUUUGGUCGUAGACCCGAAACCAGGUGAUCUACCCAUGGUCAGGUUGAAGUUCAGGUAACACUGAAUGGAGGACCGAACCGACUUACGUUGAAAAGUGAGCGGAUGAACUGUGGGUAGCGGAGAAAUUCCAAUCGAACUUGGAGAUAGCUGGUUCUCUCCGAAAUAGCUUUAGGGCUAGCCUCAAGUGAUGAUUAUUGGAGGUAGAGCACUGUUUGGACGAGGGGCCCCUCUCGGGUUACCGAAUUCAGACAAACUCCGAAUGCCAAUUAAUUUAACUUGGGAGUCAGAACAUGGGUGAUAAGGUCCGUGUUCGAAAGGGAAACAGCCCAGACCACCAGCUAAGGUCCCAAAAUAUAUGUUAAGUGGAAAAGGAUGUGGCGUUGCCCAGACAACUAGGAUGUUGGCUUAGAAGCAGCCAUCAUUUAAAGAGUGCGUAAUAGCUCACUAGUCGAGUGACACUGCGCCGAAAAUGUACCGGGGCUAAACAUAUUACCGAAGCUGUGGAUUGUCCUUUGGACAAUGGUAGGAGAGCGUUCUAAGGGCGUUGAAGCAUGAUCGCAAGGACAUGUGGAGCGCUUAGAAGUGAGAAUGCCGGUGUGAGUAGCGAAAGACGGGUGAGAAUCCCGUCCACCGAUUGACUAAGGUUUCCAGAGGAAGGCUCGUCCGCUCUGGGUUAGUCGGGUCCUAAGCUGAGGCCGACAGGCGUAGGCGAUGGAUAACAGGUUGAUAUUCCUGUACCACCUAUAAUCGUUUUAAUCGAUGGGGGGACGCAGUAGGAUAGGCGAAGCGUACGAUUGGAUUGUACGUCUAAGCAGUGAGAUUGAGUGUUAGGCAAAUCCGGCACUCUUAAGAUUGAGCUGUGAUGGGGAGAGGAAAUUGUUUCCUCGAGUCGUUGAUUUCACACUGCCGAGAAAAGCCUCUAGAUAGAGAUUAGGUGCCCGUACCGCAAACCGACACAGGUAGUCAAGAUGAGAAUUCUAAGGUGAGCGAGCGAACUCUCGUUAAGGAACUCGGCAAAAUGACCCCGUAACUUCGGGAGAAGGGGUGCUCUUUAGGGUGCAAGCCCAGAAGAGCCGCAGUGAAUAGGCCCAAGCGACUGUUUAUCAAAAACACAGGUCUCUGCUAAACCGUAAGGUGAUGUAUAGGGGCUGACGCCUGCCCGGUGCUGGAAGGUUAAGAGGAGUGGUUAGCUUCUGCGAAGCUACGAAUCGAAGCCCCAGUAAACGGCGGCCGUAACUAUAACGGUCCUAAGGUAGCGAAAUUCCUUGUCGGGUAAGUUCCGACCCGCACGAAAGGCGUAACGAUUUGGGCACUGUCUCAACGAGAGACUCGGUGAAAUCAUAGUACCUGUGAAGAUGCAGGUUACCCGCGACAGGACGGAAAGACCCCGUGGAGCUUUACUGUAGCCUGAUAUUGAAAUUCGGCACAGCUUGUACAGGAUAGGUAGGAGCCUUUGAAACGUGAGCGCUAGCUUACGUGGAGGCGUUGGUGGGAUACUACCCUAGCUGUGUUGGCUUUCUAACCCGCACCACUUAUCGUGGUGGGAGACAGUGUCAGGCGGGCAGUUUGACUGGGGCGGUCGCCUCCUAAAAGGUAACGGAGGCGCUCAAAGGUUCCCUCAGAAUGGUUGGAAAUCAUUCAUAGAGUGUAAAGGCAUAAGGGAGCUUGACUGCGAGACCUACAAGUCGAGCAGGGUCGAAAGACGGACUUAGUGAUCCGGUGGUUCCGCAUGGAAGGGCCAUCGCUCAACGGAUAAAAGCUACCCCGGGGAUAACAGGCUUAUCUCCCCCAAGAGUUCACAUCGACGGGGAGGUUUGGCACCUCGAUGUCGGCUCAUCGCAUCCUGGGGCUGUAGUCGGUCCCAAGGGUUGGGCUGUUCGCCCAUUAAAGCGGUACGCGAGCUGGGUUCAGAACGUCGUGAGACAGUUCGGUCCCUAUCCGUCGUGGGCGUAGGAAAUUUGAGAGGAGCUGUCCUUAGUACGAGAGGACCGGGAUGGACAUACCUCUGGUGUACCAGUUGUCGUGCCAACGGCAUAGCUGGGUAGCUAUGUAUGGACGGGAUAAGUGCUGAAAGCAUCUAAGCAUGAAGCCCCCCUCAAGAUGAGAUUUCCCAACUUCGGUUAUAAGAUCCCUCAGAGAUGAUGAGGUUAAUAGGUUCGAGGUGGAAGCGUGGUGACACGUGGAGCUGACGAAUACUAAUCGAUCGAAGACUUAAUCAA
Molecule: ribosomal RNA, 2265 nt
Filed under: Staphylococcus hominis
Lineage: Bacteria; Bacillati; Bacillota; Bacilli; Caryophanales; Staphylococcaceae
Description: partial 23S ribosomal RNA
Rfam family: Bacterial large subunit ribosomal RNA
Source: RNAcentral